GCUGGCCUUUUGGACAAAGAACAGGAUGAUCCUAGAUCGUUGCCUCCCGGCUCAGCCCAGACAGAGCCAGCCUGGAGAGAGGACUUACUCAGAGCUGCUGAAAGAAAGAAUUAAAGGAGACAGUGUGUAAGGGAUGGAUUUCUAUGUUUGCUUCCUUUAGGCAACUUGUGUGUUGUUCACUGGAAUUCCUCAGGCUCCUUGGACCUCCACCAGGUGAAUCCUGUGACUUAAGCAGCCUGAGACCUUGGCAGCUCAUUUUCUUCCUCUCCCGAUCUGCAUUUCCCAUAAGAUGGCAUGGCCCAAGAGAAAAACCCUGAUCAUUCAUUCGAGAGGAACUUAGCCACCGCGGCAAGAGUACCCUUCUGGAGAGGCUUGCCUAAAAAUUAAACCCUUUGACCACCUUCCAGCUGUCAGGAGUCCUGACAGCAACCACAGAGUGAGCCCGGAAGUGGAUCCCUGCUAAGCCUUCCAAUGACUGCAGCCCUGGCUGACCCCUGACUGCAACCUCACGGGACGUCUUGACCCCACAGUCUCCCAGUUUAUUCACUUCCGGGUUCUCGAUCUUCAGAAAUUGUGUGAGAUGAUGAAUACAUGUUGUUUUAAGCUGCUGGGGUUUGGGGUAGUUUGUUCCUCUGUAACUACUGUAGUUCUAUAUUGUCCUAUUAAAUCCUCGCACCAUUCCUGAAAGGUGGAGUUUGCUUUUCCCAUUUUUAGGAUGAGAAAACUGACGCUGAGAUGAGGGUAGUGACUUUUCAUACCUGGGCAGUGGCAGGGCUGGGAUGUGCCCUCAUAGCCAUUGGAUUCCAGAACAGAAGGAACCUGGUUCUGUUUUCUCAGCUGGGAUGUCUGCAGGGUGAGGUAGAGGAACUGGGAAUGGGAGGAUGUGGUCUCUUUCUUUGAUGUGUUUUUUCUCCUUUUUACUUUUCAUUCCAACCAUGUAGUUAGCAGCCGCUCUAUUAUCUAGUAUGUAUAUGUGAUUCCAGGAAAAGAAGUUGUAUCAGAAAAAACAGCAGAGUUUUGAGAGGCUUUUGAGUGACCUUGAACAAGUUCCUGCACUUUUCUCGGGCUGUGGUUUCUUUGUCUGCUGUAUGGGGAAUAUAAUCCUCCUUCCACGUGUCUCACUAGGAAACCUCAAAGAUCAGGCAUGAGGGGAUUUUGGAAAAUGCCAAGGGUCCUGGUCAUGGAAAGGUCUGCUUUGAGUAUGGAGCACCCCUGACCCAGGGCUCUCACAGUCUAGAAGGGAGGCAGUCCCGCAUAGCGAUCUCUGUGUAAGUGGUAAGUGCUCCCUCUUCUCUAUCACCCUAGUCUAGCUUCAAGAGACAGAGAACACAGAGAGAAAUUGAAAGCCCCGACCCACUUUUUCAGCCUCAUCCCUCACCAUGACCUCUCUGUUAGGCCACACCACAGCCGGGCUGAACUAGUGGAAAUUCCCCAAGCCUUCCGGGAACUUUCUGUAUGCUGAGACUUUAUCUGUGCCAUUUCUUCUC
Molecule: long non-coding RNA, 1487 nt
Filed under: Mustela putorius furo (domestic ferret)
Lineage: Eukaryota; Metazoa; Chordata; Mammalia; Carnivora; Mustelidae
Description: lncRNA (ENSMPUG00000032048.1)
Source: RNAcentral